Molecule: ribosomal RNA, 253 nt
Filed under: uncultured bacterium
Lineage: Bacteria
Description: partial 16S ribosomal RNA
Rfam family: Bacterial small subunit ribosomal RNA
Source: RNAcentral
UACGGAGGGUGCAAGCGUUAUCCGGAUUCACUGGGUUUAAAGGGUGCGUAGGUGGGCAGGUAAGCCAGUGGUGAAAUCUCCGGGCUUAACCCGGAAACUGCCAUUGAUACUAUUUGUCUUGAAUACCGUGGAGGUCAGCGGAAUAUGUCAUGUAGCGGUGAAAUGCUUAGAUAUGACAUAGAACACCAAUUGCGAAGGCAGCUGGCUACACGAAUAUUGACACUGAUGCACGAAAGCGUGGGGAUCAAACAGG